CAGCAGCCACGGGAAUACGUAGGGUGCAAGCGUUGUCCGGAAUUAUUGGGCGUAAAGAGCUCGUAGGCGGUUUGUCGCGUCUGCUGUGAAAACGCGAGGCUCAACCUCGCGCCUGCAGUGGGUACGGGCAGACUAGAGUGUGGUAGGGGAGAUUGGAAUUCCUGGUGUAGCGGUGGAAUGCGCAGAUAUCAGGAGGAACACCGAUGGCGAAGGCAGAUCUCUGGGCCAUUACUGACGCUGAGGAGCGAAAGCGUGGGGAGCGAACAGGAUUAGAUACCCCGGUAGUCCCUGUCUCUUAUAC
RNAcentral lists this ribosomal RNA (301 nucleotides) under uncultured bacterium. RNAcentral describes it as "partial 16S ribosomal RNA". It matches the Rfam family "Bacterial small subunit ribosomal RNA", at positions 509 to 807 of the family's 1533-position model. The record is from RNAcentral.